This 229-nucleotide long non-coding RNA is filed under the name Musa acuminata (dwarf banana). RNAcentral's name for it is "long non-coding RNA (MACU_LNC009654)". The record is from RNAcentral. Lineage: Eukaryota; Viridiplantae; Streptophyta; Magnoliopsida; Zingiberales; Musaceae.
GUUUUGAUUAGGCUAAGCUUUUGCCAAUCGACAAAUCUUCCAAUAUUUAGCACCAUAAUUUCUUUCAUUAAUUGAUUCUUUUUUACUUUCAGUUCUUAAUAUGUAGAUGAAUCAACAUCCAAAUCUAUUACAAUCUACCUAAACUUUUGGAGGUAGUGGUUCUUAUUAUCCUAUCUUUCAAAGCACUACAUCAAAAGAAAUUAUCAAUGUUCUUACGUCUAUAAAUUUU